Molecule: ribosomal RNA, 513 nt
Filed under: uncultured bacterium
Lineage: Bacteria
Description: bacterial SSU rRNA
Rfam family: Bacterial small subunit ribosomal RNA
Source: RNAcentral
AGAGUUUGAUCCUGGCUCAGGAUGAACGCUGGCGGCGUGCCUAACACAUGCAAGUCGAACGAAGCACUUAUAACAGAUUCUUCGGAUGAAGUUAUAUUUGACUGAGUGGCGGACGGGUGAGUAACGCGUGGGUAACCUGCCUCAUACAGGGGGAUAACAGUUAGAAAUGACUGCUAAUACCGCAUAAGCGCACAGUACCGCAUGGUACGGUGUGAAAAACUCCGGUGGUAUGAGAUGGACCCGCGUCUGAUUAGCUAGUUGGUGGGGUAACGGCCUACCAAGGCGACGAUCAGUAGCCGACCUGAGAGGGUGACCGGCCACAUUGGGACUGAGACACGGCCCAAACUCCUACGGGAGGCAGCAGUGGGGAAUAUUGCACAAUGGGGGAAACCCUGAUGCAGCGACGCCGCGUGAGCGAAGAAGUAUUUCGGUAUGUAAAGCUCUAUCAGCAGGGAAGAAAAUGACGGUACCUGACUAAGAAGCACCGGCUAAAUACGUGCCAGCAGCCGCGGU